RNAcentral lists this ribosomal RNA (481 nucleotides) under uncultured bacterium. RNAcentral's name for it is "partial 16S ribosomal RNA". It matches the Rfam family "Bacterial small subunit ribosomal RNA", at positions 28 to 507 of the family's 1533-position model. The record is from RNAcentral.
GAUGAACGCUGGCGGCGUGCCUAACACAUGCAAGUCGAGCGAAGCGCUUAAAUUAGAUUUCUUCGGAAUGACGAUUUUUGUGACUGAGCGGCGGACGGGUGAGUAACGCGUGGGUAACCUGCCUCUUACAGGGGGAUAACAGUUAGAAAUGACUGCUAAUACCGCAUACGACCCCAGCCUCUCAUGAAGCGGUGGUAAAAACUCCGGUGGUAUGAGAUGGACCCGCGUCUGAUUAGCUAGUUGGUAAGGUAACGGCUUACCAAGGCGACGAUCAGUAGCCGACCUGAGAGGGUGACCGGCCACAUUGGGACUGAGACACGGCCCAGACUCCUACGGGAGGCAGCAGUGGGGAAUAUUGCACAAUGGGGGAAACCCUGAUGCAGCGACGCCGCGUGAAGGAUGAAGUAUUUCGGUAUGUAAACUUCUAUCAGCAGGGAAGAAAGUGACGGUACCUGACUAAGGAGCCCCGGCUAACUACGUG